Non-coding RNA from Brachypodium distachyon (stiff brome), 135 nucleotides. The record is from Rfam. Lineage: Eukaryota; Viridiplantae; Streptophyta; Magnoliopsida; Poales; Poaceae.
CAUGUAAUUCCUCCGUCCAACAAUGGUGUCUCAACUUUGACUAAAUUUCAAUGUAUCCAUACACUAAGUCAUGUCUAGAUACAUCCAAAUUUUGACAAACUUGAGACAUCUUUUGUUGUACGGAGGGAGUAAUAG